This 837-nucleotide ribosomal RNA is filed under the name uncultured bacterium 1404-25l. RNAcentral describes it as "bacterial SSU rRNA". It matches the Rfam family "Bacterial small subunit ribosomal RNA", at positions 529 to 1371 of the family's 1533-position model. Lineage: Bacteria; Bacillati; Actinomycetota; Actinomycetes. The record is from RNAcentral.
AGGGUGCGAGCGUUAAUCGGAAUUACUGGGCGUAAAGCGUGCGUAGGCGGCCUGUUAAGUCAGAUGUGAAAGCCCUGGGCUCAACCUGGGAACGGCAUUUGAAACUGGCAAGCUAGAGUUAGGUAGAGGGAAGUGGAAUUUCAGGUGUAGCGGUGAGAUGCGUAGAUAUCUUAAGGAACACCAGUGGCGAAGGCGGCUUCCUGGACCCAAACUGACGCUGAGGUACGAAAGCGUGGGUAGCAAACAGGAUUAGAUACCCUGGUAGUCCACGCCGUAAACGAUGUCGACUAGCCGUUGGGCUCUUAUAGAGUUUAGUGGCGCAGCUAACGCAUUAAGUGCCCCGCCUGGGGAGUACGAUCGCAAGAUUAAAACUCAAAGGAAUUGACGGGGCCCCGCACAAGCAGCGGAGCAUGCGGCUCAAUUCGACGCAACGCGAAGAACCUUACCAGGCUUGACAUAUACAGGAAUAUGACAGAGAUGUCAUAGCCGCAAGGUCUGUAUACAGGUGGUGCAUGGUUGUCGUCAGCUCGUGUCGUGAGAUGUUGGGUUAAGUCCCGCAACGAGCGCAACCCUCGUUCUGUGUUGCCAGCAUUUAGUUGGGGACUCACAGGAGACUGCCGGGGUUAACUCGGAGGAAGGUGGGGAUGACGUCAAAUCAUCAUGCCCCUUAUGUCUGGGCUGCACGCAUGCUACAAUGGCUGGUACAAACGGCUGCGAUACCGCAAGGUGGAGCGAAUCCGAGAAAGCCAGUCUCAGUUCGGAUUGGGGUCUGCAACUCGACCCCAUGAAGUCGGAGUUGCUAGUAAUCGUAGAUCAGCAACGCUACGGUGAAUACGU